UCUUUAUAGAAAAUAUAAAUCACCAGAACUGAAUGACACGGAAUGGAAACACCAGUGCAUGCACGAGCAUUAAGGAGAAGAAAGCAGGACCAGUUUCAGCAGAGGACCAGGGACCAGAGCAGGUGUGGACACACAGAGAGCAAUCGAAGGUCCCUUCUGUGGCCCGGAACCUGCCCAUGUGAGUGUUAACAAACGGGCAAGCACACAGCAAAAUACAAAGUACCCAGAGCCUAGAAAAGUAAAAUGCCUCAUAGAUGAAAGCCUUGCAUAGCUACAGGGCUCCAAUCGCAACCAAAUCAGAAAACAAAACACACCCAAGCUAAGCCACAAGAAAUCAGAUGGAACCAGAAUUCAGCCUGAGCUAUCCAGAUUGCUCAGUAGAAGAAACACUCCUGGAAUCCAGAGGCUGCCCUUACUGCCGCACCUGUAUUUGCACACCAGAAAGGUAAGAAGCCAGAGCUGAGAACACUGUGCCCCCGCCUGUAUCCUGGUGUCCCAUGAGCAUCGAAUCGAUGGGGUUCAUGAUGGGAACAGAGCACAGCGACACCUGUCACUGUCCUGCCGCUGCCCGGCACCCCCGCUCCUGUCACAAACAGUGUGACUCUGGAAUUCAGAUCCAGAAUGGCCUUGGGCAUCGCUAAUCCAGUCCCCUCACCCUGGAGGAAGCGGGGAUGAGAAAUGUGCUCCAGGUAACUUCAGGCCACGUCUGAUUCUGAGGACUGGAGACCGUGUGAGUCGCACAGUAGGAGCAACUGCACAUCUCCAUGGUCACCUUUUAGAUGAUUCUAUAUAUUUUGUAGUCACAUUUAAAAAAGCAACUCCAAGAAGUCAGCACUUAUUGUCACUAGGGGAAGAAGGGAAUCUGUGUCACUGAGAGCCCUUGUGAUUCCCCCGCAAUCUCAGAUAUAAAUAAAUAAAUAAUAAAAUUUAAAGC
RNAcentral lists this long non-coding RNA (934 nucleotides) under Fukomys damarensis (Damara mole-rat). RNAcentral describes it as "lncRNA (ENSFDAG00000027369.1)". Lineage: Eukaryota; Metazoa; Chordata; Mammalia; Rodentia; Bathyergidae. The record is from RNAcentral.